CUUAGCUACAAUCAAAUUAUGUG
Molecule: small nuclear RNA, 23 nt
Filed under: Arabidopsis thaliana (thale cress)
Lineage: Eukaryota; Viridiplantae; Streptophyta; Magnoliopsida; Brassicales; Brassicaceae
Description: snRNA_19079
Source: RNAcentral